RNAcentral lists this transfer RNA (74 nucleotides) under Candidatus Omnitrophota bacterium. Its description in RNAcentral is "tRNA-Gly". It matches the Rfam family "tRNA". From Rfam's summary of the family: Transfer RNA (tRNA) molecules are approximately 80 nucleotides in length. Their secondary structure includes four short double-helical elements and three loops (D, anti-codon, and T loops). Lineage: Bacteria; Pseudomonadati; Candidatus Omnitrophota. The record is from RNAcentral.
GCAGUAAUAUCCCAGUUGGUUAAGGAGUCUGUCUUCCAAACAGAAUAUCGUAAGUUCAAAUCUUACUUACUGCA